Ictalurus punctatus (channel catfish) is the source of this 2562-nucleotide RNA transcript. RefSeq lists it as uncharacterized. NCBI's taxonomy places the organism in Eukaryota, Metazoa, Chordata, Actinopteri, Siluriformes, Ictaluridae. The transcript has 3 exons. The record is from RefSeq and is a predicted model, not a curated record.
AACACUGGGCCCAGCAGAUACAUUCUUAUUUCUACUUCUAUGGUAUUUCAUGAUGCUCAGACAUACUGCAGACAGCAUCACACAGACCUGGCUAGUGUGAUAGAUGCACAGGAAUAUUCUAUUUUACAACAAACAGUCACUUCUGAUUCUUGGGUUGGUCUGUUCAGAGACCUAUGGAAGUGGUCAGACCAGACCAACUUCUCUAACAUUAAUUGGGGGCAAGACCCAUGGAGUGUGGUGAUGACUGAUAAUUGUGGUAGUAUUAGUAAUGGCCUGGUUUAUCCUACACAAUGCUCUGAGAUAAUGCCUUUCUUCUGCCUCUCAGAUUUUACAAAAAAACAAAGCAUAAGAAUGAAGGUUAAAUCGGAUCAGGAUGUGAAUGAUCCUGCAGUAAAAGCAGCAAUCUUACAGAAGAUCAAACAAAAACUGACUGAGCAUGGGAUAACAGACAACAUCACACUGAAAUGGAGAGAGCAACCAGACGGCAUGGUCUUUCACAAGAUAAAAGUAAAUAAUGUUGAAGAAAAUAAGACCAGGGAAAACUGUGACCUCUAAAUCAGUUAAUUUAAGCAUUCUUUUCUUAAGAUAGAAAUUGAACACUUUUAAUGCCUUUUAGACUGUAUUGCAACAUUAAAUUAGAUUGAAAAUCAUCAUCAGCUUUAGUUAGAAGCAUUUUUAAUCAGAAGUUCUAUAGUCCACAUGCUUUACAGAUGUCAGUAGAUUAUAAAAUUACAUUGUACAUGUCCUGUACCCUUACAAUAUACAGUCAUGGGGGAAAAUAAUGUACAGCCCCCUCCAUUGUUUUUUAUUUAUCAGGGCCUAAACAACAAUUCUGUGGUCCUCACCAACUUUUAUAAACAAACAAAUAACAUCACAUGACAACAAAAAAACAACAGAUUUCAGUAUUCUUUUUUUCUAAAAAGUAAACCAACAUUAAGAAACCUGGUGGGCCAUACUCUUUCUCCUAACCACCUUUCCAUGAAAGGCAUACUUGUUAAUCUUUAUCUGAUUGUGUUGUCAUGAACAUAAAUAUUUUAUGUGCUUACAGAGGCCUGUAGCUCACUUGAUGUAGCUUUUGGAUUUUUCUUAAUAUAUCUCAAAGCAAUAAAACGGUCUGGCCUUGGACUUAAUUUGCUGGGACCCCACUCCUGGGAAGAUUGGCAACUGUAUUGUAGGCUCUCCAGUUGUAAACAAUCCUUCUCAGUGUAGAAUGGUGAAUUUCAAAUUGUUUGGAGAUGGCCUUAUAACCCUUCCCAGAUAGACAAGCAGCAACAAUUGCUCCUCUAAGGUCAUGGCUGAUGUCUUUUCUACUUGACAUGAUGUAGACACACACCUGAAUGCUCCAGAACAACAAACUGCCUAUAUAAAAGUUCUGCUUUUAGAGAGGCAGUUACACUUUGUGUUGAUUAACUAAACUUGUGUAUUUAUUUAGUAACACCUGGCUGCUUAUUAUUCCCUUAAUGAUUGUGGAAGUAGGAGGGGGGUACUUAUUUUUUCCCCAUCUGAUUUCUGAAUGUUGGUUUACAUUUUGGGAGAAAAUGACUAUAUAUUGAAAUCAUAUAUAUUGACAGUUUCCUCCCCCAGUCCAAAGACAUGCAUUGUAGGCUGAUUGGCAUUUCCAAUCACUGAUUGUGAUUUCUUUUCCCCAUGACUGUAUAAUAUUCUAAAAGAGGCUUAAUCAUUUAUCCAAUGUGCAUACACGAUUACAAAAUAUUUGUCAUUAUUUAUUAAUUAGAUAAUAUAUUCGUAACAGUAAAUGUAGAUAGAUAGAUAAAAGUUUAUAACCGAUGGCUAUAUAUGUAUGGAGUUUAAAAUAUUUUUAAUAUAUGUGUGUAAGGUAUGAAUUCAAUUGUUAUACGUUUUUGCAUUACCUAUAAUUAAAAUUGUUUGUGUAUAGGCCUAGUUAAUGUUUGUAUGUAUCAGUAAAUAUGAAUUUCAAUACAACAAAUAUUACUUCCACAAAUAUGUUUAUAUCCAUCUUUGACUAAUGGACUAAUGUGCUUGCAUUAUAUGCAGUCAUGUAUGACUAGGUAUCUCUAUACACUACAUCAAACUUAUGACACAAAAAUUCAUUAUGGGGUGGCACAAUGGUGCAACAGGUAGCAUUGUCUCCUCACAGCUAGAUGGUCCCCAGCUUAAUCUUGAACUAAGGUUACUGUCUGUUCCUAAGUUUUACAUUUUCUCCCCAUGUCCAUGUCGGUUUCCACACAGAGAUCCACUGCAACCCUUGCCAGGAUAAAGGCAAGUGUUGGUACUGCAAAAACAUAUAUAACAAUGAAAGAAUGAGAGAAUUAAUGCAUUAUAAACAGACCUUUUAACAGUACCUAAACUAUAACUGAAAUGUAUCAAAAUUAGUAUAGUGUUAUGUGUGCAAUCCAUUGGUAAACAUGUUUUAAAACAUACAAAUCAUCAAAUAAUCCAAACUAGUGAAUGAUUGGUGUGAAUCAACAACCGUUAUUUACAAAAUAAUACAAGCUAAAUUUAUUCAACAAGAGUUACCGACACCCAACCACCAUCCACCCCCACCCCCUACAAAAUAUAUAAACUAUAUAACUUAAUUAA